RNAcentral lists this ribosomal RNA (253 nucleotides) under uncultured bacterium. RNAcentral describes it as "partial 16S ribosomal RNA". It matches the Rfam family "Bacterial small subunit ribosomal RNA", at positions 524 to 776 of the family's 1533-position model. The record is from RNAcentral.
UACGAAGGGGGCUAGCGUUGUUCGGAAUUACUGGGCGUAAAGCGCACGUAGGCGGCCUGUUAAGUCGGAUGUGAAAGCCCAAGGCUCAACCUUGGAAGUGCAUUCGAAACUGGCGGGCUUGAAUAUGGACGAGGGUCGCGGAAUUCCCGGUGUAGAGGUGAAAUUCGUAGAUAUCGGGAGGAACACCAGUGGCGAAGGCGGCGACCUGGGCCAAUAUUGACGCUAAGGUGCGAAAGCGUGGGGAGCAAACAGG